This 1093-nucleotide ribosomal RNA is filed under the name Arthrobacter sp. Its description in RNAcentral is "bacterial SSU rRNA". It matches the Rfam family "Bacterial small subunit ribosomal RNA", at positions 347 to 1448 of the family's 1533-position model. Lineage: Bacteria; Bacillati; Actinomycetota; Actinomycetes; Micrococcales; Micrococcaceae. The record is from RNAcentral.
GGCAGCAGUGGGGAAUAUUGCACAAUGGGCGCAAGCCUGAUGCAGCGACGCCGCCUGAGGGAUGACGGCCUUCGGGUUGUAAACCUCUUUCAGUAGGGAAGAAGCGAAAGUGACGGUACCUGCAGAAGAAGCGCCGGCUAACUACGUGCCAGCAGCCGCGGUAAUACGUAGGGCGCAAGCGUUAUCCGGAAUUAUUGGGCGUAAAGAGCUCGUAGGCGGUUUGUCGCGUCUGCCGUGAAAGUCCGGGGCUCAACUCCGGAUCUGCGGUGGGUACGGGCAGACUAGAGUGAUGUAGGGGAGACUGGAAUUCCUGGUGUAGCGGUGAAAUGCGCAGAUAUCAGGAGGAACACCGAUGGCGAAGGCAGGUCUCUGGGCAUUAACUGACGCUGAGGAGCGAAAGCAUGGGGAGCGAACAGGAUUAGAUACCCUGGUAGUCCAUGCCGUAAACGUUGGGCACUAGGUGUGGGGGACAUUCCACGUUUUCCGCGCCGUAGCUAACGCAUUAAGUGCCCCGCCUGGGGAGUACGGCCGCAAGGCUAAAACUCAAAGGAAUUGACGGGGGCCCGCACAAGCGGCGGAGCAUGCGGAUUAAUUCGAUGCAACGCGAAGAACCUUACCAAGGCUUGACAUGAACCGGAAACGCCUGGAAACAGGUGCCCCGCUUGCGGUCGGUUUACAGGUGGUGCAUGGUUGUCGUCAGCUCGUGUCGUGAGAUGUUGGGUUAAGUCCCGCAACGAGCGCAACCCUCGUUCUAUGUUGCCAGCACGUGAUGGUGGGGACUCAUAGGAGACUGCCGGGGUCAACUCGGAGGAAGGUGGGGACGACGUCAAAUCAUCAUGCCCCUUAUGUCUUGGGCUUCACGCAUGCUACAAUGGCCGGUACAAAGGGUUGCGAUACUGUGAGGUGGAGCUAAUCCCAAAAAGCCGGUCUCAGUUCGGAUUGGGGUCUGCAACUCGACCCCAUGAAGUCGGAGUCGCUAGUAAUCGCAGAUCAGCAACGCUGCGGUGAAUACGUUCCCGGGCCUUGUACACACCGCCCGUCAAGUCACGAAAGUUGGUAACACCCGAAGCCGGUGGCCUAACCCCUUGUGGGA